ACGACGCUGGCGGCGUGCCUAACACAUGCAAGUCGAACGAGGUCCAUCCCUUCGGGAGAAGACCUAGUGGCGAACGGGUGAGUAACACGUGAGGAACCUGCCCCGAAGACCGGGAUAACCCUCCGAAAGGAGAGCUAAUACCGGAUACCCCCACCGAGCCGCAUGGUUUGGUGAGGAAAUGGAUUCCGCUUCGGGAGGGCCUCGCGGCCUAUCAGCUAGUUGGUGGGGUAACGGCCCACCAAGGCAUCGACGGGUAGCUGGUCUGAGAGGACGAUCAGCCACACUGGGACUGAGACACGGCCCAGACUCCUACGGGAGGCAGCAGUGGGGAAUCUUGCGCAAUGGGCGAAAGCCUGACGCAGCAACGCCGCGUGGGGAUGAAGGCUCUCGGGUUGUAAACCCCUUUCAGCAGGGACGAAUCAAGACGGUACCUGCAGAAGAAGCCCCGGCUAACUACGUG
Molecule: ribosomal RNA, 460 nt
Filed under: uncultured bacterium
Lineage: Bacteria
Description: bacterial SSU rRNA
Rfam family: Bacterial small subunit ribosomal RNA
Source: RNAcentral